UUUUAUGUCUGUAUGUAGUUUUAUUUUUUUUUUAUGGGGAUUUGAAUGUGUUGCUUGAGCCUCUUGGAAAGAGAACCACUGCCUCCUGUGAAGUUAGUGUGUGUGUUUUCCUUUUCUUUCUGCCUGUUUGUGUGUAUGUUGCGUUCAGAACUGUGGAUUUGUUUCUAGGUUUGGCAGAUGAGAUGGCUACAGAAGGAAAGCACUGCAGUAUGAGGUGGUAAAGGCCGAGGGUUGAGCGCUGAUGACCCACUCUUCUCUGAGGGUGGGAAAGCACAGUUCAGAAGGGCAAAGAUUUUCCCUGUGAAAACAUUAUCAGCCAUCUCGCCUGUUCCGUUGACUCGCAGGGAGCAGCAGUGGUCAAAGGUGUGGUUAGCGGCUUAGCUCGUCAUCCCAAGCUCUUGGUCACACACUCCUCAAUGUGGCAUUGCCUGAAGGGCACUGAUAACACGCAUUAUGUGCUUCUAUUGGUUGAUGUCCAGAAAACCAGCAAUCUCACACGGAAGAAUCUGUACAUUAGAGGAAAGGAAACAGGAGUUUAUUGAUCAACCAAAAAUGAAAACAAACUUUGACGGCAGAAGUAAAUUCAUGUCAGCGGUCAGUGAAGGGUUCCUCUGUGUCUCUUAUAGACUGUAGCUGGCAGUAGACAUGGCUUCACAGCACAGAUGAGAUGAGAUGGGAUGUGGGGCUGGAUCUAGCAGAGGAUCUAGUGAACCUCACAUUGGGUAUCCUGCAGUAACAGUCUAUGUGUGUAGUGACAGAGAUUAUCAUUUAAAGCUUUCUGUAAUCAAUUUCUUUUUAUAGAAUUUACAAUCCUGAGAUGCAAGCUCAUCACAGCCUUCUUUAACUUG
This is a long non-coding RNA of Carassius carassius (crucian carp), 848 nucleotides long. RefSeq lists it as uncharacterized. Lineage: Eukaryota; Metazoa; Chordata; Actinopteri; Cypriniformes; Cyprinidae. The record is from RefSeq and is a predicted model, not a curated record. The transcript is spliced from 3 exons.